Molecule: transfer RNA, 65 nt
Filed under: Bipes tridactylus
Lineage: Eukaryota; Metazoa; Chordata; Lepidosauria; Squamata; Bipedidae
Description: tRNA-Lys
Source: RNAcentral
CACUAAGAAGCUUACACACAAGCACUAGCCUUUUAAGCUAGAGAGGGGCUAGUGCCCCUUAGUGA